RNAcentral lists this ribosomal RNA (468 nucleotides) under uncultured bacterium. RNAcentral describes it as "partial 16S ribosomal RNA". It matches the Rfam family "Bacterial small subunit ribosomal RNA", at positions 28 to 507 of the family's 1533-position model. The record is from RNAcentral.
GACGAACGCUGGCGGCGUGCUUAACACAUGCAAGUCGAACGGAAAGGCCCUGCUUUUGUGGGGUGCUCGAGUGGCGAACGGGUGAGUAACACGUGAGUAACCUGCCCUUGACUUUGGGAUAACUUCAGGAAACUGGGGCUAAUACCGGAUAGGAGCUCCUGCUGCAUGGUGGGGGUUGGAAAGUUUCGGCGGGUGGGGAUGGACUCGCGGCUUAUCAGCUUGUUGGUGGGGUAGUGGCUUACCAAGGCAUUGACGGGUAGCCGGCCUGAGAGGGUGAACGGCCACAUUGGGACUGAGAUACGGCCCAGACUCCUACGGGAGGCAGCAGUGGGGAAUAUUGCACAAUGGGCGGAAGCCUGAUGAAGCAACGCCGCGUGCGGGAUGACGGCCUUCGGGUUGUAAACCGCUUUCGCCUGUGACGAAGCGUGAGUGACGGUAAUGGGUAAAGAAGCACCGGCUAACUACGUG